AUCAAAUUAACACUAAAAUAACAUCAAAUUAACACUAAAAUAACAUCAAAUUAACACUAAAAUAACAUCAAAUUAACACUAAAAUAACAUCAAAUUAACACUAAAAUAACAUUAAAUUAACAGUAAAAUAACAGCACAUCCUGGAGAAAAGGCACUUUCUGCUGCCCCACAGUCGUAAGGCAAGGAAAGUUUUUCCAGGUGGAAUCCCACUGCCUGCCCCUCUCCAUGGCUCACUCAAUUUUUCCAGAACCAUUUUCUCCUGCCCCUGGCCCGGAGCAGAGCGGGAUGGAGCGCGGCACUCACCAGCUGUGCCAGGCAGAGGCAGCAGCCUUGGAGCAGGAGCCAGAGCGGCGACACGAGGGUGACACGGGCCAUGGCGAGCGGGGCUGGCACCGAGCGGGGCUGGCACCGAGCGGGGCUGGCACCGAGCGCGGCGGGCACCGAGCGCGACUCGCAGCGCUCCGGGACACCGGGGAGAGGAGGAGCAGGAGGAGGAGGAGGAGCAGCAGGAGGAGGAGGAAGGGGCUCAUUAAUAUGGAGCAGAGGGAUCGGGGCAGGUCCCCGCCCCUCUCAGGUGAGCCCGUGGCUGCUGCGGGCUGGGUGGGGACAGAGGGUUUGGCAGCGUGGGGCCGGGAUUUGGCACGUGGGGCCGGAAUUUGGCACGUGGGGCCGGGAUUUGGCACGUGGGAACAGAAUUUGGCGCCAUGGGGACGGGAUUUGGCACGGUGAGGACAGAUUGUGGCAUAAUGGGGACAGAAUUUGGCACGAUGGGUGACAGAAUGUGGCACAAUGAGGACAGGAUUUGGCAUGAUGGGGACGGGAUUUGGCACCAUGGGGAUAGGAUUUGGCACGAUGGGGACAAGAUUUGACACGUGGUGACAGAAUUUGACACGUGAGGACAGAAUUUCACACGGCUGGGACAAGUUUUGGCACGACGGGAACACACUUCGGUAAGGCGGGGACAGAAUUCGGCACGGUGGGGACAGAAUUUGGCAC
RNAcentral lists this long non-coding RNA (996 nucleotides) under Ficedula albicollis (Collared flycatcher). RNAcentral's name for it is "lncRNA (ENSFALG00000028704.1)". Lineage: Eukaryota; Metazoa; Chordata; Aves; Passeriformes; Muscicapidae. The record is from RNAcentral.